UACGUAGGGUGCAAGCGUUGUCCGGAAUUAUUGGGCGUAAAGAGCUCGUAGGCGGCUUGUCGCGUCGGCUGUGAAAACCUGGGGCUCAACCCCGGGCCUGCAGCCGAUACGGGCAAGCUAGAAUUCGGUAGGGGAGACUGGAAUUCCUGGUGUAGCGGUGAAAUGCGCAGAUAUCAAGUGGAACACCAGUGGCGAAGGCGAGUCUCUGGACAUUUCCUGACGCUGAGGCACGAAAGCCAGGGGAGCAAACGGG
RNAcentral lists this ribosomal RNA (253 nucleotides) under uncultured bacterium. RNAcentral's name for it is "partial 16S ribosomal RNA". It matches the Rfam family "Bacterial small subunit ribosomal RNA", at positions 524 to 776 of the family's 1533-position model. The record is from RNAcentral.